UAUAUAUAUAAUCUAGUGAUUUCGAUGUGUUUUUAUAAUUUUUAGAAAAUGGGAUUCUACCAGAAUGUGAACAUUUAUGGUCACCUGCCUGGCCUAGGUCUAACCCAGGAGUUUGUGUUUCACUAUGGAACUUUGUCCUGUAGAUCUAUAGCAAUCCCUUGCUUUAACAACCCAGUAGACUACUAUUUUAGAUUCCAGGAUAAUAUUUUUGAUGUGCUGAUUUUGACAGAGUAAUGGUCCUGUCAGUAAACAGUGCUGCAUUUGUGAUUGUGAUAAGUUUUUUCUCUAUGCAUCCCAGGUACAAUUCCAGCACUCCCCAAGAAUGUCUAGAUUCUCUAGGAGUGCCUCUGACAUCAUUGCAUGCACAAAAGUGCUCUAUUCCAGCAGCAGCACUGUCAUGGUGAGAUCUAGUGAGAUAGAAUAUGAAUAUUGUUAGUUUUCAAAUGCGUGGAAAGAGAUUCAUAAAGGAAGAAUGGAAAAAGACAUUUGUUAUUAUUUAAAGGGGUUUAAGUCUAAAUUUGAAUAGUUUUUUUUCCUCCUUCAGCAUAGAGAUGUCUGAAUAAAUGAAGUCUGCAUGUAAAAAUGCACUGUUGGAAGUUCUGUUAGCAUGAAUUGCUGAUAACAGUGAUUUGAGUGCAAACACUUUAGAAAUCCGUCAUCCAUUCAGUCUGCCCUGAACUUUGACACUGUCAUUCUGGUGAUGAUGAGAAGGUGGAGCUACUCUUCCCAAUUUCCUGCUUUGGCAAGGCUCUCAGACCUAGAAAUGGGAUGAGUAGGCAGCUGCAUGGUGCCUCUUAACAUUGAGAUAUGUGCUCUUUUUAAGUCUUACCUCCUAAUCCGCCUUUGGGAUUAUGCUACUGGUGUCAUACUAACAUCAGAGGUGGUACAAACCCAAGGGGCUAAUUCUCUCACUCUCCUUUCCCUUGCAGAUGAUCCCAGCCCUAGACUCAGUGCACAAGCUCAGGUGGCUGAGGAUAUUCUGGACAAAUACAGGAAUGCCAUUAAACGGACCAGCCCCAGUGAUGGAGCAAUGGCAAACUAUGAAAGUACAGAGGUUAUGGGUGAUGGUGAAAGUGCACAUGAUUCUCCCCGUGACGAAGCACUGCAGAACAUCUCGGCUGAUGAUCUCCCAGACUCUGCAAGCCAAGCAGCCCACCCGCAGGAUUCAGCUUUCUCUUACAGAGAUGCAAAAAAGAAACUGAGGCUUGCUCUUUGCUCUGCGGACUCUGUUGCCUUCCCAGUGCUGACCCAUUCAACAAGGAAUGGUUUACCAGACCACACAGACCCAGAAGACAAUGAAAUAGUAUGCUUCUUAAAAGUUCAAAUAGCUGAAGCAAUUAAUUUACAAGAUAAGAAUCUAAUGGCUCAACUUCAAGAAACAAUGCGCUGUGUGUGCCGUUUUGAUAAUAGGACUUGUAGGAAACUGCUGGCUUCGAUUGCUGAGGACUACAGAAAAAGAGCCCCAUAUAUUGCUUAUCUCACUCGUUGUCGACAAGGACUACAGACCACACAGGCUCACCUGGAAAGGCUAUUGCAAAGAGUUUUGCGGGACAAAGAAGUGGCCAAUCGAUACUUUACCACUGUCUGUGUGAGAUUACUGCUGGAGAGCAAAGAAAAGAAGAUCAGGGAAUUCAUUCAAGACUUUCAGAAACUCACUGCAGCUGACGAUAAAACUGCUCAGGUAGAAGAUUUUCUGCAGUUUCUUUAUGGUGCAAUGGCCCAGGAUGUCAUAUGGCAAAACGCGAGUGAAGAACAGCUUCAAGAUGCACAACUGGCCAUUGAGCGAAGCGUGAUGAACCGGAUUUUCAAGCUCGCCUUCUACCCUAAUCAAGAUGGGGACAUACUUCGCGACCAGGUUCUUCAUGAACAUAUCCAGAGAUUGUCUAAAGUAGUGACUGCAAAUCACAGAGCUCUUCAGAUACCAGAGGUUUAUCUUCGAGAAGCACCAUGGCCAUCUGCACAAUCAGAAAUCAGGACAAUAAGUGCUUAUAAAACCCCCCGGGACAAAGUGCAGUGCAUCCUGAGAAUGUGCUCUACGAUUAUGAACCUCCUGAGCCUGGCCAAUGAGGACUCUGUCCCUGGAGCGGAUGACUUUGUUCCUGUGUUGGUGUUUGUGUUGAUAAAGGCAAAUCCACCCUGUUUGCUGUCUACUGUGCAGUAUAUCAGUAGCUUUUAUGCUAGCUGUCUGUCUGGAGAGGAGUCCUAUUGGUGGAUGCAGUUCACAGCAGCAGUAGAAUUCAUUAAAACCAUCGAUGACCGAAAGUGACCAAGACCAAGGCCCACCAAGGCAGCAGACUGUUAAUCAGACAAACAGAUCUCUGAGAAGGUGCAUCAGCUGCUUUGAAGGCUGAAGAUUGUUUUGUAUGAUACUGCACAGCAUCAGGCAUUUUAAAGCAGAUCUUUACUAAACAGGUUAAUGAGCUAACAAGCAGGUUCUCUCGUCUUUGGGCUCUUUCCUUUCUGAGUUGCAUAUUCUAUUUUCUUGUCCCCAAGUAGAGACUAGUACUACAAAAAGGGACCACAUUUUUCAAGUAUUUCUAAGUAU
Molecule: small RNA, 2545 nt
Filed under: Pan troglodytes (chimpanzee)
Lineage: Eukaryota; Metazoa; Chordata; Mammalia; Primates; Hominidae
Description: retained intron
Source: RNAcentral